This 778-nucleotide long non-coding RNA is filed under the name Gossypium barbadense (sea-island cotton). RNAcentral describes it as "long non-coding RNA (GBAR_LNC022044)". Lineage: Eukaryota; Viridiplantae; Streptophyta; Magnoliopsida; Malvales; Malvaceae. The record is from RNAcentral.
UGCUCUUGGACUAAAACCCAUGUUAUGGGUUUGAAUAACACUUCUUGUUAUAGUGAUAAACCAACUAUAAGUUUGAUUUGUACAUACAAAAUGUACAGGUACGUCAUCCUGGUUUUACAACAAUGAAUAAGCAACUUUGCUUUGAUAGUUUCUACGAUAGACAUUUGAUAUGAGAGGAUACAAUUUACCUGAGCACAAAAGGAACAAAAGAAAAUCACAUUAUGUAGUUGAAGCCUUAGCUUGCUUGCAUCCAUGUUCUGGGAUUAGAUGUUCAGUGGCAGCUCUCUUUGGUCUCAACUGCAACGGAAAAGCAGUAAGAAACUGCAUUAAACACCCCACACCUACUCUCAUAUUUUAUGCAUGCGUCCAUGAAUUUCUAUAUGUGACUAGGAAGUUGUUUAGAUGCAGUCUUAUAACAUAAAAGAAUCAUAAAAAAAAAAAAAGCUACUAACCUUCUCCUCGUCAUGCUGAUAGAAAUUUCUAGUAAGUAAAUUUUGUCUCAGUAGUUAUAACUGUUAGAAGUGUUUGAGAUAUCAGUCACGGAUAAAGAAAAUGUUCCUAGAAGGAUUAAAACAAAAAACUAUUCAUGAUAAAAUUCUAGACUUCAAAGUCAAUGAGCUAUGGCACUCUGAAUCAGGAUGCAAUUUGAAGUAGUUCUUUUAUAUUUGUAGCUCAGACAGUUCACAUGGAGAAAUAAGAUUGUCAACAUUUUCAUUCCAAUUGACAGACUUCAGAGAACAAUUUAAAUGAUUUAAGUGAUACAAUCGUUGUAUUCUGA